CAGCAGGGAAUCUUGGGCAAUGGGCGAAAGCCUGACCCAGCGACGUCGCGUGGGGGACGAAGGCCUUCGGGUUGUAAACCCCUUUUCCGAGGGAAGAGAAAGGACGGUACCUCGGGAAUAAGCCCCGGCUAACUACGUGCCAGCAGCCGCGGUAAUACGUAGGGGGCAAGCGUUACCCGGAAUCACUGGGCGUAAAGUGCGCGUAGGCGGUUGGAUAAGUCUCUUGUGAAAGCUCCCGGCUCAACUGGGAGAGGUCAAGGGAUACUAUUCGACUUGAGGACAGCAGAGGUAAG
This 293-nucleotide ribosomal RNA is filed under the name uncultured Chloroflexota bacterium. Its description in RNAcentral is "uncultured Chloroflexi bacterium partial 16S ribosomal RNA". It matches the Rfam family "Bacterial small subunit ribosomal RNA", at positions 352 to 661 of the family's 1533-position model. Lineage: Bacteria; Bacillati; Chloroflexota. The record is from RNAcentral.